RNAcentral lists this ribosomal RNA (253 nucleotides) under uncultured bacterium. Its description in RNAcentral is "partial 16S ribosomal RNA". It matches the Rfam family "Bacterial small subunit ribosomal RNA", at positions 524 to 776 of the family's 1533-position model. The record is from RNAcentral.
UACGUAGGGGGCAAGCGUUGUCCGGAUUUACUGGGUGUAAAGGGUGCUCAGGUGGUUGUGUAAGUUAGGGGUGAAAUCCUGGGGCUUAACUCCGGAACUGCCCUUGAUACUACACAGCUUGUGUACGGAAGAGGCUGAUGGAAUUCCUGGUGUAGCAGUGAAAUGCGUAGAUAUCAGGAAGAACACCAGUGGCGAAGGCGGUCAGCUGGUCCGUUACAGACACUAAAGCACGAAAGCGUGGGGAGCAAACAGG